RNAcentral lists this ribosomal RNA (439 nucleotides) under uncultured bacterium. Its description in RNAcentral is "partial 16S ribosomal RNA". It matches the Rfam family "Bacterial small subunit ribosomal RNA", at positions 339 to 795 of the family's 1533-position model. The record is from RNAcentral.
CUACGGGGCGCUCCAGUGGGGAAUCUUGGACAAUGGGCGCAAGCCUGAUCCAGCCAUGCCGCGUGAGUGAAGAAGGCCUUAGGGUCGUAAAGCUCUUUCGCCAGAGAUGAUAAUGACAGUAUCUGGUAAAGAAACCCCGGCUAACUCCGUGCCAGCAGCCGCGGUAAUACGGAGGGGGUUAGCGUUGUUCGGAAUUACUGGGCGUAAAGCGCGCGUAGGCGGAUUAGUCAGUCGGAGGUGAAAUCCCAGGGCUCAACCCUGGAACUGCCUUUGAUACUGCUAGUCUUGAGUUCGAGAGAGGUGAGUGGAAUUCCGGGUGUAGAGGUGAAAUUCGUAGAUAUUCGGAGGAACACCAGUGGCGAAGGCGGCUCACUGGCUCGAUACUGACGCUGAGGUGCGAAAGUGUGGGGAGCAAACAGGAUUAGAUACCCCCGUAGUC